GACUCUCUGCAGAAGAUUGUUUUUCUUUUUCUACAAAAUAAACCAACGUCAACCAUUGUGCAAGCUGAUCAACUUAAAACUUUUGAAGAGCUUCAGAGAUGAGAUUAGAACUUGCAGAUUUCUGGCACCAUGUCUAUGCUGAGUCCACAGACAAUUUAACCUCUAUAGCAUUUAUUGUGCUAAUGCAUGGAACCUGGUGGUGGUACUGCUGCAUUUGUAUCCACCUUAGUCGGAUUUUUCAUACCAAUGUCAUACAACAAAAUCUUCGUGUGGAGUUGUGACACUGUGAUAUGCAUCAAAAGGAGUUAAAAGGCGUAAGUCAUUCUAAGAGGAUGUUUGCAUUGACACAUUUUAUUAAACAGCCCUUCAGCCUGUGAAUGUAAAAUGCUGAGUCUCUUCUGCACUUCCAGAACAGCAAGAGCAGUGAUCUCCGGAGUCAGCAGAAACUUGGCAAGCUCACACUGCUCCUGAUCUGAGACAGCCUUAAGUUUCCCUUAUCCACAUCACUUGGCUUGGAUUGUGCCAGGUAUUUUUGAAACAUGGAGGAAUAGGACUUGGCUUUCCUAUAUACAAAUAAGCACGUCCUUUAGAGAGUAGCUCUCAUUUCAGUCACCAGCGAGUUUCAUUGUGAUUCUAGUAUUUUCUUAGAGGAAAAGACCUUAACCCUGACUCAGCUGAGGUUGGGCGCAAGGUUUGGUAUACUUUUUCAGACAAACUAUUGCUGAAUCAAACAACAAUAAUCAGAGGAAUGGAAAAAAAUCAGCAUUAAAGUGAUUAGCUCCAUACACAUCCCAGUUGUUUCUCUCCCUGUUUGUGCUUUUAAAGCCUUUAGUUACUCACCCUUUUUAUGUGCUUGUAUAUCUUUCCCAGAAUGCCAGUUGGUGGCUUCUCAAAGUCAUUUUAAAGCACUGAAUGUUUUCUGUGACUGUAGCCACUGUUGACUGAGUAGAAUAGAGUUAUUUUGCACAAGGAACAGAACAGACAAGAAAGUCUAAGAGCCACAUUUCUCCUCGUCCUCAUGUUGUCCACUCCUGUGGCAAUCUCAUCUUGAAGGAGAGGUUACUACCAGCCCAUCUUGAUUCAUAUCCAGUUAACAGUGAAGAUAUUCUGGCCUAAAUACAAGGCAGUCAGAUCCCUGUGAUAUAUGUAUUCAUAAAUGCACUUUCAUUUUCACACUUUCACAAGAAGAAUCCAUCUUCUGCAGUAAUUGUGUUUAUUUUUAUGGCUGAGAAAAAUGGAUCAUCAUUAACAGAAAGUCGAAACUCCCACAGUAUUAAUGAAAGAAAAUUAUCAUAGUGAUUCUUCAGAAAAAGUUUGCCAGCUUUUAUAAUACCACUUAAUAUUUUCAAGCAAUCUUAGCGUCCCCAUUUGUAUAAUAUAAAAUAACUUCUAGUGUGGUUCCUGAGCGCUGCAAAAACGAUAGGAAUAGGAUACUUCCACUGUCAGUCAAUAAAAUGAAAGAUUUAAUCCUUUUGGUGAUAACCUUCUUAUCAAACCACUCUCCCAGUAUGGUAAAAAGCUUGUUUCUCCUUUUAGCUCUCAUCUAACUUUGGUUUCGCACAAGCACUAGUUACCUCUUUCUUUUAGGAUUCUUCUCCAGGAAACCAAGCUGUAGUUCAGAAAAUAUUCGCUUGAACUGUCCAAGCUACGAGAUUUGCAUGAUCAGCACAGUGUAUAGCAAUCCUGAUGACACUUACACAGCCUUUCCUCAUUAGCUUGUACUCAUGCUUUUUCUGUCUUGCCAGCAGUAACACUCAAGACCCUGUCUGCCAGGAGAUAAUCUGUGAAUUCUUCUGAAUUACCACUUAGAGAAAGGUUUUGUUUUCUUUGGCACCUCAGAUAUCAGCAAAUCUCUGUCAUGAUUGAGGCAGACAUUUUGCAAUUGGUGUCAUAAGUUGCAUCAUUCUAAAUGAGUACAAACAGUAGUAAAACAGACUUUGAAAUAUGUUUGUAUGAGUAAUGAGUGCAGCAGCUUAAUCUUUGACAUAUUGCUGUGUUUUGAAGAGGCAUCUCUUUGCCCCUCUCUUUACCCCUUACUUCACAGGAUGUAGCCAUUUGUUCUGGGGAAAACUGACAUCAAAAGUACUUACCAGCAUCUUUCAUGGUGCUGAACUUGGAGAGGAAUUUUUGUCCAAAUUUAUUGCACAUAGAUGACUUAUAUAGUUUUACUGUUUGUCAUUCAGUGAACUUAACCAGUUUCAUGUGUCUAUAUUAACAUGUUCCUUUCCUGACAUGAAUUUGCUAAUGUUCUCCUUUCCUUUUCGAAGGAUUGUAUGCCCUGAGGGAAAUCCUGAGGCCUCUUGCUUCUGCCUGAAAUGGAUUUCUUUUCGUAACAAGAAAAAGAAAGUUAUGUUUCUCUUCAAAAUGACAAAUAUUGUAGAUUUUUUUGCUAUCCUCUAAUCUUAGCUCUGAUUCCCCAGGAGGGCACUUUCCUAACUGUGUUUCCCAACACCUUCUUUUGUAUAUGUGCUAGAGAGAGAAAGUUUGUUACCUACUCUGAUAAAUGGUGUGAGGGAGAAAAGCCUUCUCAGAAGAUGUUAUAGCUUUGGAAAUUCUAGGUUAUUUUGAGAGACUGUCAACACUACAAUGAUUGGAUUUGAGAUAUCCAGGAAGGAGGAUAUAGGCUGCUAAAAUCAUGAAUUUCCCUGUUGGGCUUGGAUUUGUGUUACAAACACAUAGUAUUGAUUGUUUCCCUUAAUAAAGAAUAUCUCCAGG
Non-coding RNA from Meleagris gallopavo (turkey), 2715 nucleotides. Lineage: Eukaryota; Metazoa; Chordata; Aves; Galliformes; Phasianidae. The record is from RefSeq and is a predicted model, not a curated record.